This 275-nucleotide ribosomal RNA is filed under the name uncultured Eubacteriales bacterium. RNAcentral describes it as "uncultured Clostridiales bacterium partial 16S ribosomal RNA". It matches the Rfam family "Bacterial small subunit ribosomal RNA", at positions 71 to 339 of the family's 1533-position model. The record is from RNAcentral. Lineage: Bacteria; Bacillati; Bacillota; Clostridia; Eubacteriales.
AACUUUUCGGAGGGAAGAUGUUAGUGACUGAGUGGCGGACGGGUGAGUAACGCGUGGGUAACCUGCCUUGUACAGGGGGAUAACAGUUAGAAAUGACUGCUAAUACCGCAUAAGCGCACAGGAUUGCAUGAUCUGGUGUGAAAAACUCCGGUGGUAUAAGAUGGACCCGCGUCUGAUUAGCUUGUUGGCGGGGUAACGGCCCACCAAGGCGAUGAUCAGUAGCCGGCCUGAGAGGGUGAACGGCCACAUUGGGACUGAGACACGGCCCAAACUCC